AUGAUAUGCUUCUUCGCCGUCGAGUGGCACUUUGUAGACCGUGUGGCAAGACAAUUUGGAAAAAGACAAGGUAUUCCAAUUGAGGAGAGCAAGGAGGAAAUGCUAUCUCUGCAUCGGUUCGAUCGAAGGAACAAUCAGGAUAUAUCGGAUUGGGCAAACAAACACCGUGCGUGGAUAGAAUUUUGGAAUCAAAGAGACACGUUAGUGCAAUCAGAGAAUAGACCUCACAAUCAGUCAGCAUAUCAGAAGUAUCAAGUGUGGUAUGCGGAUCGUUACCGGUUAAAGUUGAAGCCAGGUUGGACUCACGAGGAGUGGUCGGAGUUGGUGUCUGAAGACCCGGAGACUGCAGAAGGUUAUCAUACCUUCAACACGGCUGUGAGAGACACCAGAGGGGCUCAUGUUGACUACGCACCGAUGCAUGACGAAAUGGUAGUAUGUUUGACCUAUUCUAACAUACUUGCAUCAUGUUGUCUUCUUUCAAAUACAUAA
This 489-nucleotide ribosomal RNA is filed under the name Triticum aestivum (bread wheat). RNAcentral's name for it is "partial small subunit ribosomal RNA". Lineage: Eukaryota; Viridiplantae; Streptophyta; Magnoliopsida; Poales; Poaceae. The record is from RNAcentral.